ACCCAGAGCUCAGGGGCAUGGCAGCGCCCCAUGCCCAUGCCCCAAGCUAUGUAGCUAGUCCUGUGGCCGCGCUGGCCCGUCCCUCACUCCCUUGCUAUGUAUGCUAUUGCUACCCAUCCACUAUCGAUCAUCGCGGGCAUAAACUAAUCCGGCCGGCUGCGGCUGCAGCUACUCAUCGGCAAAGCUGCAGUAUAAAUUCAGGGGAGCUCCAUCGACGAGUGAGCUCCCUGGGGGACCAGGCUGGGAGAGCCCCCCCGUCAGGCCCCCUCCUCCUCCUGGUCUCCUCUCUUCUAUCCGAGCUCGGCAUUCAGGGCUACUACACCUGCUUACAUCCAUCGUUCAUGCAUGGUGCAUACAAUGGUAUGCGCAUAUGCACUGCAUUGUUCGUUCAGAAUAAAUAAGUAGACCAUGCAACUGCUACAUACACAGUGGAAAGGUUUUUGAUCGAGAGGCAACGCAAUUGCAAUGGUGAUCAGGAUACAAGCAGGGUGUGGUCGAGGUCGAUCGUGCAUCAUGGCCGCAUGCAUGCAUGGGAGAUGCAGCAGGCGUUGGCGUCGUCUGUCGCCACAGCUUGGAUAGCGGAACCAAAAAAAAAAAAGGGUCAUGUGGCUAGCAGCUUCUGUUUAUUUUCACUUUCUUCGUUCAUCGCAUGCUCUUGUUGUUCACUGUUGUACUAUCUAGUAGUUCUCUUUAUCUGGUGCUUGCAAUCUAAUUCUCCGCUUCCUUGUCGUGACAUUUUUUUUUCUUUCAAUGGUCGAUGUCUUCGUCAUGAAUGCUUUGUACUCUGCGUAUAUCGGUAUGCAGUUGUACGUGCCCUUUAUUAACACUUCCACUGUUCUAUAUA
Zea mays is the source of this 844-nucleotide long non-coding RNA. RefSeq lists it as uncharacterized. The transcript has 2 exons. Lineage: Eukaryota; Viridiplantae; Streptophyta; Magnoliopsida; Poales; Poaceae. The record is from RefSeq and is a predicted model, not a curated record.